This 83-nucleotide transfer RNA is filed under the name Desulfonispora thiosulfatigenes DSM 11270. It matches the Rfam family "tRNA". From Rfam's summary of the family: Transfer RNA (tRNA) molecules are approximately 80 nucleotides in length. Their secondary structure includes four short double-helical elements and three loops (D, anti-codon, and T loops). The record is from Rfam by way of RNAcentral. Lineage: Bacteria; Bacillati; Bacillota; Clostridia; Eubacteriales; Peptococcaceae.
GCCGAAGUGGCGGAAUGGCAGACGCAGCGGAUUCAAAAUCCGCCGGGGGCAACCUCGUGAGGGUUCGAGUCCCUCCUUCGGCA